RNAcentral lists this unclassified non-coding RNA (590 nucleotides) under Aspergillus flavus. Its description in RNAcentral is "sequence contains ITS1, 5.8S rRNA gene and ITS2". The stretch from base 188 to 341 matches the Rfam family "5.8S ribosomal RNA". The record is from RNAcentral. Lineage: Eukaryota; Fungi; Ascomycota; Eurotiomycetes; Eurotiales; Aspergillaceae.
GGGAUACGAGCGGUAGGGACCCUAGCGAGCCAACCUCCCACCCGUGUUUACUGUACCUUAGUUGCUUCGGCGGGCCCGCCAUUCAUGGCCGCCGGGGGCUCUCAGCCCCGGGCCCGCGCCCGCCGGAGACACCACGAACUCUGUCUGAUCUAGUGAAGUCUGAGUUGAUUGUAUCGCAAUCAGUUAAAACUUUCAACAAUGGAUCUCUUGGUUCCGGCAUCGAUGAAGAACGCAGCGAAAUGCGAUAACUAGUGUGAAUUGCAGAAUUCCGUGAAUCAUCGAGUCUUUGAACGCACAUUGCGCCCCCUGGUAUUCCGGGGGGCAUGCCUGUCCGAGCGUCAUUGCUGCCCAUCAAGCACGGCUUGUGUGUUGGGUCGUCGUCCCCUCUCCGGGGGGGACGGGCCCCAAAGGCAGCGGCGGCACCGCGUCCGAUCCUCGAGCGUAUGGGGCUUUGUCACCCGCUCUGUAGGCCCGGCCGGCGCUUGCCGAACGCAAAUCAAUCUUUUCCAGGUUGACCUCGGAUCAGGUAGGGAUACCCGCUGAACUUAAGCAUAUCAAUAAGCCGGGAGGAAACGAAGGGUUUACCCCGG